RNAcentral lists this ribosomal RNA (811 nucleotides) under Triticum aestivum (bread wheat). Its description in RNAcentral is "partial small subunit ribosomal RNA". The record is from RNAcentral. Lineage: Eukaryota; Viridiplantae; Streptophyta; Magnoliopsida; Poales; Poaceae.
AAACGAGCACGAGCAGAGGCAGGGAGGGGCUUAAUUCGGGGCUCCGGCGGCGGGCCUCGCCGGCCGUGUGCUCCGGCUGCGACCUCGGGAGAUCAGUGUCUCCACGGUGCUCCGACGUCCAGCGGACAGACCACUCCAUCCCCGCCCCCUCCCCACACCGGGCGCCAGAUCCGGCAUCCGCCGACGCCGGAGAAGAGGGCUCCAGCCUUCAGGGAAGGAUGGAGUCAAUGGCAAGUAUUGCUCCAAGUGCCAGGUCAACUACAGUGAUGGGACUUGAAGAUCAUGCCAAGUUGCCAACAACUUUUCCUCGCCGUCGACGGCCACCGAGCACAAGGAGGGAGACGCGCUGAACUCUCCUCCUCCCUACCGGCACUCCCACCGCCCGCCGCCAUCUCUGCCUGGCUCCCCCUUCACGGUGGCUGCACCGUUCGUUUCCUUCCCCAGAGGCCAUGGCCUCUCACAGAACUGCCUCCUCUGUGGAUGAUGAUUUGGACUAUGCCAAUUAUCAGGACGAGAAGAUAGCUUGCUAUUGUCAAGAUGAUUGGGGCUUUGCUAGGCACAAGUGCGAGAUCUUGUUGGAAUUUGCCCAUCUGGUAUGAGCUUAGUGAUAGAUUGGUGAAUCAUUGUAUGCAUUGCCUGGUGUUUAACAGAACAUUGCACAAGUCACUCUUAAAAGAGGAUGUUAUGUUAACCAAGCAAUUGUCACAUGUGAAUCGAAUUUUCUGACGAGUGGUUAGUGAUUUCUUGAUAUGUAGAUAUGGGGUGCUAGAAAAGGAUGACUGCUCCUUAAAUAUAUUGCUCAUCUUUUGAA